UGGCGGACGGGUGAGUAGCGCGUGGAAAACCUGCCGUAUACUGGGGGAUAACACUUAGAAAUAGGUGCUAAUACCGCAUAAGCGCACAGCUUCGCAUGAAGCGGUGUGAAAAACUCUGGUGGUAUACGAUGGUUCCGCGUCUGAUUAGCUAGUUGGUGGGGUAAUGGCCUACCAAGGCAACGAUCAGUAGCCGGCCUGAGAGGGUGAACGGCCACAUUGGGACUGAGACACGGCCCAAACUCCUACGGGAGGCAGCAG
Molecule: ribosomal RNA, 258 nt
Filed under: uncultured bacterium
Lineage: Bacteria
Description: partial 16S ribosomal RNA
Rfam family: Bacterial small subunit ribosomal RNA
Source: RNAcentral